UUUCACUUCAAGUCAUCCUCGGUCACCAAAGCAAUCGAAGACUCGUUGAGCUCGAUCGUCUUGUUUCUGAGAUGUCUCUUUCUACCUGGGACUAUCUCACCCUUCUCCUUCUUCGUCCUCUCUUCGCAAUCGCACUCGUCGUCUUGUUCAUUGCUUCCGGUUGGUAUUUGGCGUGGAAGCUGGUUUUGGUUCAUGUUCCUCUUGUUCAAGAGAUUUUCGGGUUGAAAAAGAAGCCCGUCAAUCCCAAACCCGCAACUCGUGGACGAUUUUCGAAGUUUUACAGUACAUUGGAAACCCAGAAUUCAGCUUCUAAAUGAAAUGAAGGGAGAGCAAAGUUGGUAGAUUCAUGUGUGAUUGGAGGGUAAGGGAAUCCAUGACACCAAGUUCAUUGUUUGAUGGAAGGAAGAAUUCGACGACACACUUUCCAAGGGUGGAGAUUAUGUUCCUUUGUGUAUAGCAGUAUAGAUUGAUUUGAACAGAUUAUGCUCCUUGUGUAUAGAUUUAAAUUUUUGGAGUCAUUUGACCAAAAGGAUUGCAUUCACUAAUUCAGAACAAAAUUUGGGGUAUUAGUGUAUUACUUGCAAAGAAACCAUCU
Long non-coding RNA from Rosa rugosa (rugosa rose), 595 nucleotides. RefSeq lists it as uncharacterized. Lineage: Eukaryota; Viridiplantae; Streptophyta; Magnoliopsida; Rosales; Rosaceae. The record is from RefSeq and is a predicted model, not a curated record. The transcript is spliced from 3 exons.